UACGAAGGGGGCUAGCGUUGUUCGGAAUUACUGGGCGUAAAGCGCGCGCAGGCGGUUCUCCAAGUCAGUGGUGAAAGCCCGGAGCUCAACUUCGGAAUUGCCAUUGAAACUGUUGAACUAGAGUACGAGAGAGGUGAGUGGAAUUCCCAGUGUAGAGGUGAAAUUCGUAGAUAUUGGGAAGAACACCGGUGGCGAAGGCGGCUCACUGGCUCGUAACUGACGCUCAGGCGCGACAGCGUGGGGAU
This 245-nucleotide ribosomal RNA is filed under the name uncultured Rhizomicrobium sp. Its description in RNAcentral is "partial 16S ribosomal RNA". It matches the Rfam family "Bacterial small subunit ribosomal RNA", at positions 524 to 768 of the family's 1533-position model. The record is from RNAcentral. Lineage: Bacteria; Pseudomonadati; Pseudomonadota; Alphaproteobacteria; Micropepsales; Micropepsaceae.